GACGAACCGUGCGAACGUUGUUCGGAUUCACUGGGCUUAAAGGGCGCGUAGGCGGGCCAUCAAGUCAGGGGUGAAAUCUUUCGGCUCAACCGGAAAAGUGCCUUUGAUACUGGUGGUCUCGAGGGAGGUAGGGGCAUGCGGAACUUCCGGUGGAGCGGUGAAAUGCGUAGAUAUCGGAAGGAACGCCGGUGGCGAAAGCGGCGUGCUGGACCUCUUCUGACGCUGAGGCGCGAAAGCUAGGGGAGCGAACGGG
Molecule: ribosomal RNA, 253 nt
Filed under: uncultured bacterium
Lineage: Bacteria
Description: partial 16S ribosomal RNA
Rfam family: Bacterial small subunit ribosomal RNA
Source: RNAcentral